UUUUCAGUGGUCUUGAACGCACCGCAGUUAAGUGUGGUGUGACGCAGCAGUUUGACGCAAGUGUGUAAACUUCGCCACAGAAAUGUAUGUUUUUACCACUCUUUCCCCCUUCAUGAGCUGCGUAAAUGCGCAAAGCAGAAACGGGCUCACUCUUCCUGGAACGAACCGUCACGGUGGCCGUCUUGGAAAGGUAUCCUCUGCGUUUGAGCGUCACCUCCAGGAAUUUGGCAUCCUCGUCCACAAGGUAGUACUCCCUCUCCAGUGAGAUCCAGGCCCAGUUGAGGCGGAAUGGCUGAGGUUUGAGUUUGUUUCCACCUGAAGGAAGGACGCAAGAAAGGACAGCUUCAUUAGAUGCUUUGCACGAGUGAACACACUGCAGGACUGCUUGAAUUGAAGAUUUCAGACGCAAGG
Molecule: long non-coding RNA, 411 nt
Organism: Nerophis ophidion (straightnose pipefish)
Lineage: Eukaryota; Metazoa; Chordata; Actinopteri; Syngnathiformes; Syngnathidae
Exons: 4
Source: RefSeq, a predicted model, not a curated record